Molecule: ribosomal RNA, 253 nt
Filed under: uncultured bacterium
Lineage: Bacteria
Description: partial 16S ribosomal RNA
Rfam family: Bacterial small subunit ribosomal RNA
Source: RNAcentral
UACGAAGGGGGCUAGCGUUGCUCGGAAUUACUGGGCGUAAAGCGCACGUAGGCGGCUUUGCGAGUUAGAGGUGAAAGCCCGGGGCUCAACUCCGGAAUUGCCUUUAAAACUGCAUCGCUAGAAUUGUGGAGAGGUAAGUGGAAUUCCGAGUGUAGAGGUGAAAUUCGUAGAUAUUCGGAAGAACACCAGUGGCGAAGGCGACUUACUGGACACAUAUUGACGCUGAGGUGCGAAAGCGUGGGGAGCAAACAGG